This is a long non-coding RNA of Brienomyrus brachyistius, 459 nucleotides long. RefSeq lists it as uncharacterized. NCBI's taxonomy places the organism in Eukaryota, Metazoa, Chordata, Actinopteri, Osteoglossiformes, Mormyridae. The record is from RefSeq and is a predicted model, not a curated record. The transcript has 2 exons.
GAUAGAAGCAGAGGAAUGUAGACAGUGGGGAUGAGAGAGCGGCAGGCGACGGUGGAGAAGAAACAUGCAAGAGUGUCUGGUGUCCAGGUGACGCUGGCAGGGGUUUGGGGGGACGGAGCAAAGUGCCGAACUUCCUGACCAAUAGGACGGGGAGCUUUCACUCACCAUGAUCAGCAUCAUCAUUUUUGUAAAUGUGUGUCUGCAUUUGUUCUUGCUUGCUUGAAUUCGCUGCCAUACCGCUUCAAACUUUUUUGCAGAUGUGUGUGUUUUAUAUUCGACACGUCCCCAUGAGACAAAUGUACCUUUUUCAACUUCUUCAAAAAAUGCAAAACACCAUUUUUUGAUGCACAUUUUUAUAUGAUGUUAUAUGAGUUAUUUGGCAUCAUGUCCAGUUCACCUUGGUGUUACACAUUAAUUUUUAUGUGUAUUGUUUGUAGAAAAUAAAUUCCAUGUGUAGAA